Molecule: long non-coding RNA, 1004 nt
Filed under: Lathyrus oleraceus (garden pea)
Lineage: Eukaryota; Viridiplantae; Streptophyta; Magnoliopsida; Fabales; Fabaceae
Description: Pisum sativum (pea) long non-coding RNA (PSAT_LNC037152)
Source: RNAcentral
UUAGUAUGUAUUCAAUUAAAAUAUGUGUAUGUGUUUUUUAAGGAGUAUACAACUUUUUUGCUAUAUGAUUUUAGUAUAUAAUGUUGCAAGAUAACUUGUGUGUAUAAAUGAAGUGGUGACUUGUCUUGGUUAGAGAACUUGUUGAACAAGUUAUAGGAGUAGAUGAGUUUUUUUAUCUAGUAACUGUUGUCACAUAUCAUCUGAAUUGGAAUAGUUAGCUAGGCUACUUAAUUACUACAAAUUAACAAUUUUAAUCUUGUAACUGUUUUGCGUGUGCAUUUGACACCUAUCAUUUCUUUAACACUAGUUUUCAUUUUCAGCGCAUACUCUCUCACCUCCGUUCAUCUUUCUCUCCGGCUCCUGNGUAUGUUUAUUGUGUUGGCAUUUAACGUGCUAUGGCACUUUAAGAUAUUGAUUCAUAAUUUGUAUACAUUCCCCAAAUAAUAUUAUAAUGAAAUGAAUGAGAUAACUUCUUAUUUGAAUGAGAUCAACAUGACUUUCACCUAUUAAUAUAUAAUUUAUUGAAAAGAUUGAGUUGUCUAAAUUUCUCCAAGUGCAAUGUAACAACUUAAUUCUAACAGUUAUCUUACUUAUCUAGCUUGAAGAGUUAAGUAGAAUUAGUAGAAAGAGAUUUUGCUUUUAGGUGCAGUUUGAUAUAUUAGAUACUUUGGGAUGUCUAUUAUACAGUUAGUAUGUAUUCAAUUAAAAUAUGUGUGUUUUUUAAGGAGUAUACAACUUUUUUGCUAUAUGAUUUUAGUAUAUAAUGUUGCAAGACAACUUGUGUGUAUAAAUGAAGUGGUGACUUGUCUUGGUUAGAGAACUUGUUGAACAAGUUACAGGAGUAGAAGAGUUUUUUUAUCUAGUAACUGUUUUAUCACAUAUCAUCUGAAUUGGAAUAGUUAGCUAGGCUACUUAAUUACUACAAAUUAACAAUUUUGAUCUUGUAACUGUUUUGCGUGUGCAUUUGACACCUAUCAUUUCUUUAACACUAGUUUUCAUUUUCA